RNAcentral lists this unclassified non-coding RNA (6211 nucleotides) under Diabrotica virgifera virgifera (western corn rootworm). Its description in RNAcentral is "zinc finger protein 585B-like". The record is from RNAcentral. Lineage: Eukaryota; Metazoa; Arthropoda; Insecta; Coleoptera; Chrysomelidae.
AUUUACUGUGAAUGAAAAGCCCUAUUGUUGUGAAAAGCAUUGGUUCAAAGUAACAGGUAUUAUUAUUAUUAUUAGUUAUAUUAUCGCUUUUUUUAUCAAAAGCCAAAAAUAUGCGAUUAUAAUUAUUUUAACUCCAGUCUGUUAAACAAGCAUAAGCAUACAUAUUUAUGUAAUAAGCCAAAAAAAUUUAUGGAGAUGUUGCUAUGAUGCCAAAAAUUAUUAAAAUGGAAGAUGAUGAUAUGGAUGAUAUUUUUGAUGAAGAAGUUGAAAAAUCAAUGGAAAUAAAAGCACUUCUGCCAAUAAAACAAGAAACACCAUUUUAUCCUGAAGACACUGCAUUAUCUAUUAAUAUUUCUCACACUAAUGAAAACAUCUUAGAUAUAAAAUCAGAAAAGGUAUAUGAAGAAAUCAUUGACAACUUUGAAAUCAAGUUGGAAGAAGUGGAUGAGCUUAAAAUUGAGCCUGCAGAUAAUAAGCAAAUAUGGCGUAAUAAAAACAUAAAAUCACAGAAAAAGAAAUACUAUAUUUGUGUGAUAUGUCAAAAAAAAUUUUCAUCUGCAAGAAGAAGAAAUAAUCAUCUACGUAUACAUUUUGAAUUCCCAUCUACAAGAAGAAGAAAUAAUCAUCUACGUAUACAUUUUGAUAUACCAGUGAAAACGAAAAGUGGAAAAAGCAGAUCUAGCAAUGAAUUUUUUGGAAAACAAAUAUUCGUUUGUGGUUUCUGCGGGCAGUUGCAUAUUAACAAAACACAAAUUUUAAGUCAUUGCCAACAGUAUUAUGUUAAAUCUCGACGAAAUAUUGGAUAUAAUAGAACACAAUCUAAUAGUGCUUUGAACGACAUUGAUGUAUUUAAAAGUAAAGUGAAACUAAAAACUGAAGUAGAUAACAGUGACAGGCAUUUGUUGGGAUGUCGAUUAUCUUCUAGUAAAAUUUCAAACAAAAAUUCAUUUGCAAGUCCAAUACGAUACUAUAGGACGUGUGGAAGAUGCGGCAAAUCAGUUACAAGUAAACCAGAGUUACACCAACAUUAUCAAACCCAUGAGAAAUACAAAUGUAAAAUUUGCGCUAAAGAAUAUCGUGUGAAAAAAAACCUAAUGAUUCAUAUGCUCAAUCAUAAAGAAGAUUACAAGACUUUUGAACUUAAUCAAAAUUCAAAACGGUGUGUAAUCUGUCAUAUUUGUUCAAAGUUUUUUGCUACUGAGCAUGCUCUCCGCUAUCACUUAAUUUCUCACACCGGUGAAAGGAAAUAUGAUUGCAAACAUUGUUUAAAAUCGUACAAAUAUGAACAAGAUUUGAAUAGACAUAUGCAUAGUCACACGGGUGGAGAAAUAAAACUAUUUGAAUGUCACCAUUGUUAUAAAGUCUUCAAACAGAAGGGGCAUUUAAAUCGUCAUAUAGAGGGUCAUGUUUCGCUAGGGUCCAAAAAUUAUAAAUGUAACAUGUGCACCAGGAGUUAUCAAAGGAAGGAGAGUCUGUACGUGCACAUUCGUACGGUACAUAAUGGUGUAAGAUACUUUCGUAGCCACAACAACGAAUAUGUAAGAAAGGAAAGUGAAAAUGAAAAAUGUUAUAUUUGUUACUUGUGUAAUAAAUCAUGUACACGAAAAACAGAUUUAAGAAAACAUAUCGCUAGAUGUACAAGAAAGAAGUUAAUGAUGCAAGAUAAACAAGAUCCUUUUGAAUGCAAGCAGUGUGACAAAAAAUUUCUUUACAAAAACAUGUUAGUUCGUCAUAUAAAAGAUCAUGAAAGUCGACGUUAUAUAUGUAAUUUGUGUAGUAAAUCAUACAAUCGAAUAAAAUGUUUUAAAAACCAUAUCUGCACCGUGAAGCAUGAAUGUAAACACUGUGGCAAAGUAUUUAAAUACCGUUCUAAUUUAUGUCGUCAUGUACAAGGUGCUCAUGAAGGAAAACGUUACAUUUGUGCAUUGUGUAAUAAAUCAUAUAUCCAGAAAGACGAUUUAAUAGCCCAUUUUGAAAGAGUUCACAAAGACCAAAAACUAGAGCAUCUCUAAUAUCCAUUAUUCUUGAAAUAUCAGAAAGCAAAUCGGAAAAAAUUAACUAAAUUACAAUCCCCAGGACAGGACGCGGACGGCACGGCUGUCUUAAGGGGCCCGUUAAAGAUUCCUUUUAUAUGAAAGAUAUUGAAUCCUAUUAUGGGUCGAUUUCUCAUACCUGCCUUAAUCUAUGAUUCAGCUGACCGCAGUUCACCGGUGAACUUCGAUUUUGUUUGGAAUGCAUUAGAUGGCAAAAGGUAAAAAACUAUCGCCAUUUUGUACGACCAUUUUUAUGCUGUUUUUGAAUAAAGUUAAAUUUAAGUAUUUAUAGUCAAAUAGUCAUUUUAAUAAUUAUAAAUAAAUGUUAUAAAAACAAAAAUAUUGUUAUCGUGUAUCGUUAGGCUUAAUAUAAUAAAAUAGGAUAUAUUUAUAUUAUGACAGCGUUUCGUGUUGAUACAACGCAUGCGUAAUCCAUGAAAUCAUCUGAACUGGGUUCUGAAAUCUUUGAACGGCCGAAUUCCAGCGUUCAAGCAUCGUUCAAGUUUUAACUGCCAUCGGUAGAACGUGAAUUGAGAAAGACGAUUCUGAUUUUAAACUGACGUUCACUAAAAGUUCAGGUUAAACUGGAGUUGAACUCGAUAUGAGAAAUUGGCCCUAUAUGUAUCAUUUACGUAAAGUGAUUACGUACGGUAAACUCGAUUUACAGGCUGUAAUCUCCAAUAACACAUGUAUAUAAAAUCGGUAUGAUGUAUCAUCGUUAUCCAACUGGUUGCCUACUUUCGUAUGUAAUAUCUUUUACGUAAACGCACGCCUAAACGUAAUUUUUAAACUUUUCUAAACUAAAAUUACUUGCCGUUUAGUUAGGUUAUGUUUAUUAUUGGUCGCGUUCACCAGAAUAAUCCGAGUGCAAUCCGAUUAAUUUGCGCUGAAACGCUGACAGUUUUUUUACUAGUGAACGACUGACGUUUGACAUUCGAUUGAGAGUGUUCUGUGUUCCAUUUGUUUAUGUUUUUAUUCUUUGUUUAUAUAAUUUAUAACCUAUUUAGACAGUUUUGUUUUUAUUUUAAAUAAAACUGAAACUGUCUAAACUAAAAUGGAUAAUAUUCUUGAAGAACUUUUGUUUGGGGACGAAAUUAGCAAAUGCCGUUAUACAUUUAGCAGAUGUACCUACCUCAAAUUAUUCCAGAAGGAUGAGAUGAAAUUAAAUAUAUAUAAACCAUAAUUCAAUAUCCAAUUUAGAGAACAUUUUCGUAUGUCCAGAACUACUUUCCAGGAACUAUUUAAUUGUAUUGGUCAUAUCCACCAAUUUGAGAACGGAAUAAUUCUAUUGGAAAAAAUUAAUGUUUAUGAUGUGGAUGCUAAGUAAACCAGAUAAUUUGUUGCUGGGGAUACGUUUGGUUUGCCAAAGAGCUCUGGACAUAAGAUUUUCACCCAAAUAAUAUAGAAUUACAAAAAAUUGGAAAUAACUAAUCUUGAAUAUCAAUGUGUAUAUUGAGUUUAAUUUUAUUGUAAAUAUUCUAUAAUAUAAUUUUAUUGUAAAUAUUGUAUUAACACAUUUGUGGACACAUUUUCAUAUGCAGACAGUAAUUUCCCUUUGUAAGUACAUGCAUAUAUAGUCGUAUCUGCGAAUGGGUUAAUUGUAAAUCGUAAUCAAUAAAAAUUUUUUGUGAAUCAAUAAAAAACUGGUUUGUUUGAAAAUAAAUGUAGUACAAAUGUGGUUAUAAUAUUUAUUUUCAUGCUUAGAUAAAAACUAAAUGUAUUGUAACACAACCUUUCAUAUAUCUUCCUCCUCCAUUGUUAAGCAGAAUUUGUUAACAAGAAUUGUCCCUCCAUUCUUUUUUUAAUAAGAGGAAUUUCUUCCUUAGCGUUCCUAGUAUUUGGUUGUGGCUCUAAAAUUGCAUUUGUUUCACUGAGAGCAUCUAAAAGGUCUCUCAAUCCUUAUUUCGAUUGACAUAGCCAUACUCGUAGAAAUAAUUCUAUCUGUAUUGAUGGUAUUAUCAGAGAACAACGAACACAUGGUGGUCUUCAGAGUGCUCCCAACCGACAGUACCUUAUGCUGCUGCGUUUUCUUUUACUGUUUUAACCCUUAUCCGGGCAAGUGGGUCUCAAUAGGCCCGAAACGCCAUGUCUUUUAUAUGGAAGUAAAAUGUCUUACCCGGAUAAGUAUUAAAGUGAGCUUUCUCGUUUCAGAAUUUUUUAUCGAAUAUAGCUUCAAGAUAACGUAACCAUGCAAAAUAAUUAUUUUUUCCCUUUAUAGGAUGCCAGCAACAACUUUGUAAUGUAAGAUUGCUUGGAAAUGUGCUUCUGUAUGAGCAUCAUAAAGGGAUGUCUACUGCAUUCCCAGUUUAUCUCAAGAGUUAGUUGGUUGUGAUCAAAGAAUCUUAUUAAAAAAUAGAUUAUAUCUCCCUCUAGUUCUUUUUUCAUAGUACUUAUAUUAAAUUUGGAGUAUGCCUAAUUCCAUGAAAUGACAACAAAUAAUAUGAUUGUAAAUAGUUUUGAAAAAGCUGUUUAUAAUUAAAUUUUUUUUAAAACGUCUACUUUUAAAAAUUUCGUACCUAGGCCUGGAUCCCGCAUACCAAAAAAAAGUUGAUUAAUAGCAAGCUCAAAUUUGUUAAUAGCUUAAUCUAGUUGGACACACUUUGAUGUAUAGAAACACUGGAACAGGGGAAGCCUUAAUUGUGGAACGUGCCAUCCUGACAAGUUUAUGAUUGUGAAAACUAGCAGGUUGUUUUUAAGUUUAUUCAAUAGCAAACUUUGUAUAUUAUAAUAUAUGAAAAAAUUUUUGUCCGAAAAAUAUGUUGGGCAGUUGGCUGAAAGACUUUGGUCGAUGGCCUUUUAGUACAUUGUAUCAAUAAAGUAUGUCUCUCCAUGUUGGGCAUUUUAAUAAUUCCGACACGUAGAACAUGUCAGAGGAUAGGAAUUAUAUUGGUGAUAAAUAGCAGUCUGAUUUUGCAUGCUAAUGAAAGAGUAGCAAAUCAAUUGGAAGUUCUGUCCGACACAAUACAUGAGACGUUUUUGUAGUCUGACGUUCGAAACCUGUAACCUGUUCAACAAUUAAAACUUCCCGUUCCAGUGUUUGUUUUAAAUUAAAACAUCAAAGUUUGUAGACACCGUUAAGCUAAUAAUAAAUUUUCAGCUUGCUAUUAAUAAACUUUCUUCUGGUAUGCAGGAUCCAGGCCUAUUAACUAUUUAACUCGAGCAGAUUCCAUUUUACCAGCGAAUAUAAAUCUCAUUCAAAAUUCGGCAUAUCUAGAUACUUAACUUAAUGAAAUCUUACCAGAAUAAUAAACGUUUACUACAAGAACAAGAAAAUUUUGAUAAUAAAUUAAAGAUUCGGUCAGCUGUAGAAAGGUUUGAACUAAUAAAAUGCAAAUUUAGAGGAUUAAAAUUUGAUACAGAAAAUAUUCGAUUAACGAACAUUGUGUUUUACACAAUUUUAUAAUAUAGAAGGCAAUAAUGUUCUGGAUAAAUGCAAUACUGAGUAGGUAUGCUAAAUAAAGAAAUUAAUAAUAUAACGGUGGGUGAAGAAGAAUAAAAAAUUGGAAAUAUUGAAAAUAACUAAUAUGGAGUAUUAUUGUAUAGGUACCUUCCUACCUAUAUUAAAUUUAAUUUUAUUGUAGGUAAAUAUUAAUUACAAAUAGUUGGUAUGCAAUCAAUACCAAUUUUUAUAAGAUUUGUGAAUCAAUCAAAAACUGGAUUGUUGGAAAAUAAAUGAGGUAGGUACUUACUAUUACACAUAUUGUGUUAAUAUUUCUAGUAACUAUAUAAAUAAAAAAACACAAAUAUUUCUAACUUAAUUUAGAUAAUAACUAUAUAUAGGAUACAUAUAAAUAAGAACUACAAAUAUUUACAAUAAAUUACAUACAAUAAUUAUUGUAUUUAUAUUCAAUUUUAAUUAAAUUGUCCAUUUUACUUUGAACUUAAUUUUAAAGUUGGCGGGAUUCAGCUAUCACAGCACAAUAACAAAUUUAAGGCUGAAUAAAAUGGCGAGCGCUUCCAAUCAGAUUAAUUCAGCGCACCGUUCACUAGUAAAAGAGCUUCCAAUCCGAUUGCAAUCCGAUUCCAAGCUCUGUGUUUGAUGAACGCAACCAUCGUUAUGAUAUUAAUAAUUAUUUUGUGAAACCAAGUUGUUUGUGUGUCAGACUUGUAUUUUUAGUUUACUUUUUAAGUGAUUUUUUAGUUGUUUAGUACCUCAAUAUAUUAUAUCAUAAAAUGAA